Long non-coding RNA from Salvia splendens (bonfire salvia), 678 nucleotides. RefSeq lists it as uncharacterized. The record is from RefSeq and is a predicted model, not a curated record. Lineage: Eukaryota; Viridiplantae; Streptophyta; Magnoliopsida; Lamiales; Lamiaceae. The transcript has 4 exons.
GUGCAUGCAAAUUUAACUCUUAUCCGAACUUGCAUUGUGAACACAAUUUCAGAGAAAUAAUCUCCAACUUGUACGCUUUGGCAAGGGGUGAAGUAUCAUCUCCCUCGCCUAAAUCCUAAAUUAUACUCAUUGCCUAAUUCUCAUUACUCAAAAUUUUCACCUAAAUUCUCUCUCUCUCUCCCUUGCUCCGCCACCGAAUCCCUGCUCUUCAACAAUCCGCUCCUGACCACAAAUUCAACAGCAGCCAGAAGAAGAAGAAGCUCAUUUGUAGAUGUCGUUGGCUUGAGCUCGCCGUUCUCUUCUCGGCUUCAACUCACAACACCAAGAAUCCUUAAUUAUAUUUGCUCAUCAGAAUCAUCUAGUUCUCAGACUUCCUCGCUCUCAGGCUCAGCAUGAUUUCCUUUCAACUUCAGUUACCUAAGUGAGUUUAUGAGGAAAAAGUUUUGGCAAGGGUUGAAGAGUUGCGUGCUAAAGAGAAGAGAACCAGAUUACAAUGCGAUCUUUCUCGAGCUUUUUGGGAGGUGAAGAAAAGGAAACAGGUCCUGGAGCUGUACAGGCGACGAGCUUGUAUUUGAACUAAAUUGUGGGAGCUAGUAGUAUUUGAACUAAAUCAUGUGAUCUAAUUGAAUUGAAGUGUAAAACAAUAUUUUGUAUCUAUGUAACAUUUUAAUUUCGUUA